UUUCCGUGCUGUUUCGUUUCCCUCAACAAUUAUUUUCGUAAUCUGAUUGGGUCCGCUCCUAAUCAGUCCCAAUACAGACAACCAACCUGCAGGUUAGUCCAUUUACACACGUAUUUAAGAUUUUACACAUUAUUUUAUACAAAAAAGAACACAUUAUAAUUUGGAAGAUUUAAUAAUUAAUUGUAAAUUUAUAACCAAAUGAGCUGAAACCUGAAAGUCAAAGUAUCUCAAAUUCCAGGUGUCCUAAGAUCUUCGUAUAACAGUCGUGCCACGUCAUUGGCGUUAAUAGUCAACAGGUGAUGGGAAAGGAAUGAUACUGGAUAAGCGGAUAUGCUCUCACUGCCUAUUAAGAAUGUCUUUUUAUUCUUCUUUGGAUAUGCGAAUAUGCUUUUGCUACUCCUAAUUCGUACUUUCUAUAUAUAAUUAAACUUAGCAAGUGGAUUCAUGCAAUUAUUCUCCAUAUUUCUUUCCAGAAAUUACCCUUACCCCACGUUGAGCUCGGCAGUCCAUUUUUUGGACACUCUGACCGAAAUCACCUUGGAUCCUCCAUAAUUAGCCUGAAAAAAAGUCGGUAGGUGAGAUAUGUUGGAUUCUUUGGUGUAGAUAUUUAUAAAAGUUGCAAGCUUCUUUAAAUGGUUAACUAAUAUGAAAAGGAAGGGCAUAUGGAUGCGGUGGGUGUAUCCUCAAGUCAACCAUUAUAAUGCAUUAAAACCAAAUUUAAUGGGUUAUUUGCACGUUGAAAGAAAAUCAUUUAUCCAUUCCAGCUAUUUAAGUUGAAAUAUUUUAGUCGAAUAGAAUAUAUUAUUAUAAAUUUAUUUUAUAUGAUAUAAAUUAUAGAAUAUAUGAAAUUAGUGGAAUAGUUCCUAGCUCGGUUAGUAACAAAAUUAGUUGUCGAUGCAGGAAGACAUGAGUUCUAUAGUAUUAAAAUAUAUUUAUCCUCUUUUCUAAUGAUUGAAAGAAGGAUUAUGAGUAGUUUUAAAACUUGUAUCAGUAAAAUAUACUAUAUUUCAUAAUUAGAAAAUAGAUUGGGUUAGAUUAUAAAAAUAGGAGUCCAAAUUCGAUCUAUAAUUUAAAUGUAUUUUUUUUUACGGUUUCUAAUCCUAAUAUUUUUUAUGAACUCUAUUACAUAUGGAUCAAGAUUUUAAUUUUUUUAAUAUUCUUUGAAGUUUAUGAUUAUCUGAAAAUUUUUUUUAAAUUUUAACAAAUAAUCCACCUUUAAACAAAUUUAUUAUUGGACGGCAUACUUUUUCCAGAACACAGGAAAUUUCUUAAUUUGCUUACGUUGGUUAGAUGGUGACAAAUUUUGGACUAAAGGACGACCCU
RNAcentral lists this long non-coding RNA (1323 nucleotides) under Gossypium barbadense (sea-island cotton). Its description in RNAcentral is "long non-coding RNA (GBAR_LNC011927)". Lineage: Eukaryota; Viridiplantae; Streptophyta; Magnoliopsida; Malvales; Malvaceae. The record is from RNAcentral.